This 253-nucleotide ribosomal RNA is filed under the name uncultured bacterium. RNAcentral describes it as "partial 16S ribosomal RNA". It matches the Rfam family "Bacterial small subunit ribosomal RNA", at positions 524 to 776 of the family's 1533-position model. The record is from RNAcentral.
UACAGGGGGGGCAAGCGUUGUUCGGAAUUACUGGGCGUAAAGGGCUCGUAGGCGGCCAACUAAGUCCGACGUGAAAUCCCAAAGCUUAACUUUGGAACUGCGUCGGAUACUGGAUGGCUUGAAUUCGGGAGAGGGAUGCAGAAUUCCAGGUGUAGCGGUGAAAUGCGUAGAUAUCUGGAGGAAUACCUGAGGUGAAGACGGGUUGCUGAGCUGACACUGACGCUGAGGCGCGAAAGCUAGGGUAGCAAACGGG